GAUGAACGCCAAGACGUGCCUAACACAUGCAAAUCGAAUGAAAAGAAUUAUUUAUUGUUUUCAUGGUGAACGGGUGAGUAAUACAUAAGAAUCAGCUUUUAGAUAAGGCAUAAAAGAGUAAUAUCUUGGUAAUUCCUUAUAUGCGCAGUAGUGCUUAAAAAGGGUAGUCCCGUCUAAAAACGAGCUUAUGCCUGAUUAGCUAGUUGGCGAGUUAAAAGCUCACCAAGGCGAAGAUCAGUAGCUGGCCUGAGAGGGCGGCCAGCCACAUUGGGACUGAGACACGGCCCAAACUCCUACGGGAGGCAGCAGUGGGGAAUCUUCUGCAAUGGGCGCAAGCCUGACAGAGCGGCGUCGUGUGAAGGAAGAAGGCCUUAAAUAGGUUGUAAACUUCUUUUACUGAGUAAUGAAUAAUGACAACGCAGUAAAAAAGUAUCGGCUAACUCCGUGCCAGCAGCCGCGGUAAU
RNAcentral lists this ribosomal RNA (464 nucleotides) under uncultured bacterium. RNAcentral describes it as "bacterial SSU rRNA". It matches the Rfam family "Bacterial small subunit ribosomal RNA", at positions 28 to 524 of the family's 1533-position model. The record is from RNAcentral.